CAAGGAAAGAUGUUCCCGUAAUUUGGGUUUGAGUAAGCCGAAGAGUGGAAUGAAAACAUUUUACAUCGUUGCAAAAAUACCAACCUACCAGCGAUAAGAAGAUGGAUAAACAGCUACUCUGGCUUUGUAUCCUGGCCUGCCUUCUGUUCCAGGCCUCUUCCAUACCCGUCUCGGAGAGCGAAGUUACUCGGGAGCGACGUUCGCCAUGUUCAUCUGGAGGCUGCAGUUUUCUGAAGAAAGUGAAGUUUUCGAGGCGUAAAAGACCAGGAAGACCAGGAAGAAGACGACCUAAUCGCUUCAGGGGUUCCAGAGAGUGGGGAUUACCAGACGAUGACUUGACUGAUAUCAUUGGAUAUAACGACCAGCAGAAAUCCAUCGAUAAUUAAUUUAGCUUAACAGUUUCAGAAUAUUCCACUCUCAUCUGAUAGCACUGUAGAAUAGAUCUCUGUGUACUAAUAUCAUAUUAUUCUGUAGCCUAAUUUCGCACUGUAAAGCAUGAGUUGUUCACUUCUUUUUAAAUAUAGAAGUCUUCGUUUUAUUAGAAGCUGAAUAAAAGUUGUAUCCUUAAUCAA
This 572-nucleotide long non-coding RNA is filed under the name Pocillopora damicornis (cauliflower coral). RNAcentral describes it as "uncharacterized LOC113684983, transcript variant X1". Lineage: Eukaryota; Metazoa; Cnidaria; Anthozoa; Scleractinia; Pocilloporidae. The record is from RNAcentral.